GAAGGUAUAGCUCAGUGGCAGAGUACGUACUUAGCAUGCAUGAGGUCCUGGAUUCAAUCCCCAGUACCUCCA
RNAcentral lists this transfer RNA (72 nucleotides) under Camelus bactrianus (Bactrian camel). It matches the Rfam family "tRNA". From Rfam's summary of the family: Transfer RNA (tRNA) molecules are approximately 80 nucleotides in length. Their secondary structure includes four short double-helical elements and three loops (D, anti-codon, and T loops). RNAcentral also lists the same sequence under 2 other names. Lineage: Eukaryota; Metazoa; Chordata; Mammalia; Artiodactyla; Camelidae. The record is from Rfam by way of RNAcentral.